RNAcentral lists this long non-coding RNA (226 nucleotides) under Nicotiana benthamiana. RNAcentral's name for it is "long non-coding RNA (NBEN_LNC000782)". The record is from RNAcentral. Lineage: Eukaryota; Viridiplantae; Streptophyta; Magnoliopsida; Solanales; Solanaceae.
UUUUUUUUUCUUUCUUCUGCUUUCGUCUUCUUCAGUUCUGGACUUCACUGCUGGUCGACCAAAAUAGUUCUCGUUUUUCUCUUUUUUUUUCUUUGUUCUUCUUCUUUUCUUUCUUUUCUUUCACAUAUAUAUAUACAUAUAUAUAUGAAAGAUUUUGUGUAUUUGAUUUUUAAAUGUAUAUUUUCAGUUUAUUGAUUAUAUUUUUUUGAGGCGUAAUUUAUGUAAU